Mauremys reevesii (Reeves's turtle) is the source of this 4054-nucleotide long non-coding RNA. RefSeq lists it as uncharacterized. The transcript has 3 exons. NCBI's taxonomy places the organism in Eukaryota, Metazoa, Chordata, Testudines, Geoemydidae. The record is from RefSeq and is a predicted model, not a curated record.
UGGUGGGGGACAUUGAUCACCUGACAAGGCUGAUCAGAGGGUCACAUGGCAAAGGAACUGAAGGUUAUAAAAGAAAGGCUCUUAUUGGCCACGGGGGGCUAAAAGAGGAAAGGGGAGUAUGCCUGCAUAAAGGAGGGUACUCGCUGCAGUGAGCAGACAGAAGUUCCAUGAUUUGGAGGAGAAGUUAUAAGAAAGGAAGGAUCCACAAUACCCCCGGAGCACUCUGACCGAAGCCCAAAGAAUGCUCCAGAGUGGUGAGGAAACGGAGGAUACAUCUGGGAUAAGAGGAAGUCUCCAUGCAGCAGGCCAGCCAUUCCCCGAGAGAAAAGAAGGGGCCAAUCCUAUUACCCGGACCAUCAGCUGCACGCACUUUGCCUGACUGCACAUGGACACUGUAUGAGUUGAAUGGAAAGAACACCGCUGACUUCAAUGGAGUGUUGCGGAUUUACACUAGAUAAGGAUCUGGCCCAGAAUUUUUAACAUCACAGCACACAAGCCGUUUCCCCAAGAGAUUCCACAGCGUUCCGUUUCAUAGCAUGGGCUUGGAAAAAUAAGGACUUACGCAGCAGCCCGUUCCACCAGAGUCUUGAUAAACUGCAACAGGUGAGCAGACAGGACAGAGCAGGAAUUUCGCAUAUAGAGUCUCAUGUCAGUCACAACCUGUAAGAGAUCCCCAGUCAGUCAAGAUGGAGCAUGAUGUACAUUGUGACCAAACAAUACUCACCGGGUCAUUUGACUUUUGCCAGUUUGGGGAACCGGAUAAGAAAGUCAACCCUCCACCCAGGGCCGCCCAGAGGAUUCAGGGGGCCUGAGGUCUUCGGCAGCAGGGGGCCCCCGCUACCGAAUUGCUGCGGAAGAUGCUCCGGGUGGCCCAGGCCCUGCAAUAGUUUUCCAGGGCCCCCGGAACAAGUGAAGGACCCCACUCCAGGGGCCCCGAAAAACUCUCGUGGGGGCCCCUGCGGGGCCUGGGGCAAAUUGCCCCACUUGCCCCCCCUCCAGGCAGCCCUGCCCUGCCCCGCCCCCCCUUUCAAUAGUGAAAAAAACUUCCCAGUGCCUUACGGAUGCCAUUCAAACAGUUCAGGGCUUUCAAUCUAAUUCAUUAUUCAGUGGGAAUUUCCCUAUAUUUGAAUUUGCUCUCCAGGGGCCUGAUCCGAAGCCAGUGGGAGUUUUUCCCAUUAACCUCAAUGGGCUUUGGCUCCGGCCCCAUCAGUGGUUCCCUUAAUAGAAGGUCUGCUCCCUAAAGGUGCUAUGAACCUGUAACUCCCGCUGAUGUUAGGAGCAGGUCCCAGCCACUGGAGAAGACAAACACAGAGGGGGAAAUAAUCACAUAAGCUAAUACUAGCACAAAGGGACUCAAAAUAUAACAUCAAGCAGCCCAAAGCUUAGAGGGCUGGUCCAUCUACCUGUCAGAGGCCAAAAGCUCACCGAUAACCCUAAGCUUUUUUCCUGGGAACCCUGUACUCUGUGUUCAAACACACAGGACCAGAUCCAGUGCUGAAGUGAAGCCAUUGGCAAGACUGCAUUACUUUCAAUGGGUGCUGGAUCAGGCCCACAGAGAGAGAAGUGAAAAACAACAUUAUCUAGGGAAACAAAAAGAACUAGAAGGUGGGGGAUGGAGAAUGAGUCUAGGAAAAGUUAUGGACUCGACAUUUUAGUAAAUCAGGUGUAAACACAAUAUUUGUCCCUAAGGUCAAGAAUACGGCUUGCCAAAUGAAAUUACUGCUACAGUCAGCAGCCUGGACUAACAUCUGAAGCUCUGAAUUGAAAAGGACGAGGAGUCAGUAUGGCUGAGUAAUGGUGAUAAAAUGGAAUAUACUGGGACUAUAAAAUUAACAGUGACCAAAAGAGUUAGAAAAACUGCUGGAGGUCAAAGCAGAAGUGUGAAAAUUAACUGCAGGUGUUUGCCUAACCAUAGCACCAGCUUUGGUAACUGCAAAGCUCUUCACAUUUAAUUGCCGGAGUACACACGUGUGAGCUAUAAAGAAGGAUCCCCGUGACUAUGGGCUAGACUCUAAAGUCCCUCAGAAAUGGAAACAGAACCUACAGUGCGGUUACACAAACAUAACCCCCUCGCUGGGAAAAUGCAAGUUCCUCUCAGGGCUGCUAGAUCCCGGAGUCUUCAGCAGAGAGCUAUUUGUCUUCCAAAGCAGUGCAUAUGUGCGCCACUCCCUCUGUUUAGUAGCACUUCUAACCUGCUCAAGUGUGCGUGAGAUGAUCACCCUUUAGUGGCUGCAGAAGAUAGAUCAGACUAUGACUAAUACCGCAGCUAUCUCGGGUUCACCUUCAGCUCAAGUGGUUGGGACUGAGUCCCGAGUUCUGUCCUUGCUUUGGACGAUUAAGUUCACGCAGGAAUGAUGUUCAGUCCAGGUGGAAACCACGAAGCCCGCCAUAGAACGGCUGCAACUUGUUUGAAAGAGUCUUGAAGCACCUCGGGUUCUCUCUUUUGCACAGAGCUCCUAUUGAGUUCCAAAGGAACACUGUGCAAGAGUCUGGCUGCAUCGUCUUGGCCAAAAGAAAUGGAGUUCAAUUUGUGUUCGUACCCAAUACCAUUACUCAGCAACUGUGCUCAUUCUGUCCACCCAGCACUCAGGGGCCACUAGAUGAGCUGCACACCUGCAGUGACUAAGUCCCAAGGGAGCAUGUUGUGGAUGUCAAUUAAGAAAAGGGAAAGAAGGUAGAAGGAAAUAAAGGAGACAAAGCAAGUACUGAAUGACACGAGGCAACUCUUGCCAUACUUGAUCAUUCCGGCUUCGUCCGGUGUGCAACUUCCCAGCUGCAUCCCCAAUCAGCUCCUGAGGGCAACAGAAGAAUUUCCAUCAGUGUUGGCAGUACUGGAACGAUAAGGACUGCAGAGAAAGCAGACCCCACCUGCGCUUAAAAGUCAAGGCCUGGAUUCACAAACGCUGACGCAAAUGCUUAACUUUAUGCAAGCAAAUAAUACGCUGGAGCCAGGCAAUUCAGGGCAGGGACAGUUUUGUUAUGUGCUAGUACAGUGCUUGGUCCACAAUGGGGCCCUGAUCAGGGCCCUACAUGCAAUUGCAAUACAAAUAAUCCCCACUGGGCCCUUUCGGUGCCACCAGACUAUACAUAUUCAGUAGUAACUAAUAAUAUGUUAAGCAUGUGGUUAACAUUCAUAAGUAGGAUCAGGCCCCAAAGCUGCUUUGGGCCAGGUCUGGCCAAGUCUUCUCCUAGCAAUAUUUUGGGACAGCCUUCUCUCACUCUGAAUACAAAAUAAGAUGGGGCAAAAAAUAUACGCCACCGAAUGUAUAAAUAAGAGUUUGCAACAUAUUUUUAAUUCUCUCAAUAGGGAUGUAGCCUAAAAAGGAAACACUUAGAUCAAAGUAUCUAAGGGGAGAAGACUUAUUUUACUACUGCCAGACUGAUCAGAGGCAUGACCUGGAAGUUAUCAGGAAAUUAGAGGAACUGGACCUUUAGUCUGCGUUCGUUGGCAGUGUGGAUGUCCUCAUCGCUUUUGUUCACCACAAAGGCUCCCCUGGACCAUUCUUCAGAAAUCUACAUCAGCAAAAUACACUGGAAAAGAGACACUAAAAUGGGAGAUCUCCACCAGGCAACUGUUUGGGGGCAUGGAGCAGGCUAAGCACAACAUGGGUUAGAGUGCGUACACCUGAACGGGAAGCAGAGGUAAGCCAAGGGUCAGGACUGAUGCUGGACCCCCAACUUUAUAAUCAAAGACAUGAUUCAAGACACCAUCCCUGGUCAGGGAAGCACGUAAUGUGCCUACUUUUAAAUAACGGGACUUAAACAUGGUUUUCUUGAAUCAGGACUAAGGAAGAUUACCAUGCCGACUACCUGAAAAGAGAGAGAUCAACAGCCAAAUAGCAGUGGCUAAAGCUUCAAGUCAGGGUGGGUACCUGUGGCAAUGCUUGACAACCUUUUACCACACUCUGUGCUUAAGCAAAUACAUACCUUUUCUAAUCCACUCAGAAUCUUCUCCAAAUCACCCUUGGUAAGAAUCCCAGACUUCUCCAAAGCCUUGGCAUAAGCCAUGCUCCCUCGGAUGUCAACUUCCGACAACCGCUGGUCACAAGCCAUG